This 271-nucleotide ribosomal RNA is filed under the name Odontella aurita. RNAcentral describes it as "partial Bacterial small subunit ribosomal RNA". It matches the Rfam family "Bacterial small subunit ribosomal RNA", at positions 23 to 296 of the family's 1533-position model. Lineage: Eukaryota; Bacillariophyta; Thalassiosirophyceae; Eupodiscales; Odontellaceae. The record is from RNAcentral.
CUCAGAUUGAACGCUGGCGGCAGGCUUAACACAUGCAAGUCGAGCGGGGAAGUAUAGCUUGCUAUACGACCUAGCGGCGGACGGGUGAGUAAUGCUUAGGAAUCUGCCUAUUAGUGGGGGACAACAUUCCGAAAGGAAUGCUAAUACCGCAUACGCCCUACGGGGGAAAGCAGGGGAUCUUCGGACCUUGCGCUAAUAGAUGAGCCUAAGUCAGAUUAGCUAGUUGGUGGGGUAAAGGCCUACCAAGGCGACGAUCUGUAGCGGGUCUGAG